UGGGGAAUAUUGGACAAUGGGCGAAAGCCUGACGCAGCAACGCCGCGUGCGGGAUGAAGGCCUUCGGGCUGUAAACCGCUUUCAGCAGGAACGAAAAUGACGGUACCUGCAGAAGAAGCCCCGGCUAACUUCGUGCCAGCAGCCGCGGUAAUACGAAGGGGGCUAGCGUUGUUCGGAAUUACUGGGCGUAAAGCGCACGUAGGCGGAUUGGAAAGUCAGAGGUGAAAUCCCAGGGCUCAACCGUGGAAC
This 249-nucleotide ribosomal RNA is filed under the name uncultured Paracoccaceae bacterium. Its description in RNAcentral is "uncultured Rhodobacteraceae bacterium partial 16S ribosomal RNA". It matches the Rfam family "Bacterial small subunit ribosomal RNA", at positions 355 to 621 of the family's 1533-position model. The record is from RNAcentral. Lineage: Bacteria; Pseudomonadati; Pseudomonadota; Alphaproteobacteria; Rhodobacterales; Paracoccaceae.